AUCACUUCUCAACCUUUUGGCCAAGGUCAAGUGUAGUAUCUGUUCUUACCAAUUUAAUAUCUGGUGUGUCCUCUAUCCAAGGAUUUUUGACGCAGGUAGUAGGAAUAGGAACUUACUCCAUCACUCCACACAUCAAACUGGUAUUAUAGGUCUCAGGAACAGUGUCCCCCAU
This 172-nucleotide small nuclear RNA is filed under the name Carlito syrichta (Philippine tarsier). Its description in RNAcentral is "U2 spliceosomal RNA (ENSTSYG00000025281.2)". It matches the Rfam family "U2 spliceosomal RNA". Rfam says of the family: U2 is a small nuclear RNA (snRNA) component of the spliceosome (involved in pre-mRNA splicing). Complementary binding between U2 snRNA (in an area lying towards the 5' end but 3' to hairpin I) and the branchpoint sequence (BPS) of the intron results the bulging out of an unpaired adenosine, on the BPS, which initiates a nucleophilic attack at the intronic 5' splice site, thus starting the first of two transesterification reactions that mediate splicing. Lineage: Eukaryota; Metazoa; Chordata; Mammalia; Primates; Tarsiidae. The record is from Rfam by way of RNAcentral.